Molecule: long non-coding RNA, 829 nt
Organism: Bos taurus (domestic cattle)
Lineage: Eukaryota; Metazoa; Chordata; Mammalia; Artiodactyla; Bovidae
Source: Ensembl
GGGACUCAAACCCAGCUGAAACCCUGCUUGGGACUUGAACCCAUUUGGCUGGGUCUCAAACUCAGCCAAAACCCAUGGUACCUGGUCUCAGGAUCUAAGGAAGCUCAAGUUCUUGCUGUCUCAUCACAGAAAGAAUUCAGUGAGAGACAAAGUGAUAGUGAUUUGCAACGUAAAUAAAGCAAUCAGAGUGAUGAAAAUAGAAAGCUUCCAGCAAAAUCAACUUCUGAGAACUGCUGCCAAAGGGAGAAUAACAAGCAUUUUCAAGCUAAAAUUUGGGCUGAAAAUGAGCUGUGAAUAAGCUGCAAAUGAUCACCUCUCUCUGAAACCCAGUGGUUAAUUAUGCUGUUUCACAGCAAGACCAGGUUGCAAAUAUACACUGACUUCCUUCAGUAGAAGUUGUGAAAUUGCUGGAAAAUGGCUGAGGAUCUUUGACCUGUCUCUUCAAAGGACCAGUUCCCAAGUCUCUCCUUUCAACACUCCCUGCUCGCUGCUAUUUAAGCUACCACCUGGAAGCAUAUUCAGCAUGUGGGACCAGCCCUAAAACUUGCUGGAGUUCUUGUUUCUUCCUUGGUCUGUACAAGGCCACCAUUCAGUAACCUUGAGAACCAUUAAACCCAUCACAAGACCACCUGAUGCCAGAUGAUUGAAGGAAUGAAGGCCCUGCAUGCACCCUGAUCCUUAUCAGCACCUCUGCCUCUUGACUACAAGACUCCUCACAAUCCACUUAUUCCACCCCCGGUUGGGACAUACAGUUUUGAGGGCAUUAGCCUGCUGCAGCCCCCUUUGCCUGGCAAAGCAAUAAAACUAUUCGUUUCUAUGUCAUCCAAAA